AGAGUUUGAUCAUGGCUCAGAAUCAACGCUGGCGGCGUGCCUAACACAUGCAAGUCGCACGAGAAAGGGUAGCAAUACCUGAGUACAGUGGCGCACGGGUGAGUAACACGUGAAUUAUCUACCUUCGAGUGGGGAAUAACUGGGAGAAAUCUCAGCUAAUACCGCAUAACACCUACGGGUCAAAGCAGCAAUGCGCUUGAAGAGGAGUUCGCGGCAGAUUAGUUAGUUGGCGGGGUGAUGGCCCACCAAGACGAUGAUCUGUAUCCGGCCUGAGAGGGCGCACGGACACACUGGAACUGAAACACGGUCCAGACUCCUACGGGAGGCAGCAGUGGGGAAUUUUGCGCAAUGGGGGAAACCCUGACGCAGCAACGCCGCGUGGAGGAUGAAAUCCCUUGGGAUGUAAACUCCUUUCGAUCGGGACGAUUAUGACGGUACCGGAAGAAGAAGCCCCGGCUAACUUCGUGCCAGCAGCCGCGGUAAUACGAGGGGGGCAAGCGUUGUUCGGAAUUAUUGGGCGUAAAGGGCGCGUAGGCGGUUUGACAAGUCUGAUGUGAAAUCUAUGGGCUCAACCCAUAGCCUGCAUUAGAAACUGUCGGGCUUGAGUAUGGGAGAGGUGAGUGGAAUUUCCGGUGUAGCGGUGAAAUGCGUAGAUAUCGGAAGGAACACCUGUGGCGAAAGCGGCUCACUGGACCAUAACUGACGCUGAGGCGCGAAAGCUAGGGGAGCAAACAGGAUUAGAUACCCUAGUAGUCC
This 756-nucleotide ribosomal RNA is filed under the name uncultured bacterium. RNAcentral's name for it is "bacterial SSU rRNA". It matches the Rfam family "Bacterial small subunit ribosomal RNA", at positions 8 to 796 of the family's 1533-position model. The record is from RNAcentral.